Molecule: long non-coding RNA, 5971 nt
Organism: Alligator mississippiensis (American alligator)
Lineage: Eukaryota; Metazoa; Chordata; Crocodylia; Alligatoridae
Exons: 5
Source: RefSeq, a predicted model, not a curated record
UCAUACUACUCACUCCUCCAAAGAGGCCACCACUUCCCUCUGCUGCCAUCUUCUAGAAGCAACGCAGAAGCUGAAGUUCAUGCUACAGUCCUGGGCCAGAACCUGGUAUGACAUCUCAGCACAGCUCAUAAAGAAUGAGAGGGGACAAGAGGUGCCACUUCAGCUUGUUCUCCGGCACCUCUGCGCUCUCUCUAGCACUCUUUCAGCAGGUCACAUGCAGAUUCUAUGUAAUGAUUGCAACGGGGGCAGGAUGGCCCUGAAUUACUCCUAGUUUUGCUGGCUGCAGGUCUUCUGAAAUCAAGGGCAUGGGUCUGGGAGAUCAGGAACCUGUUUUAGAAAUAGUACCAGCUUGAAGGUCGAGUUCAUCCACCCCACAGUGGUGAGGCCCUUAAAGUUCAGCACCCAGGAAUGCUCAGCAGAUACUUCUUCUCAUGUAAGAGCUGGAAAUGUGACACAACCACACUGAUUUCAAAGCGUUUGGCUCAGGCUGAUCUCACUGCAGUAAGUGGGGGUCACCGGAGAGACAGCGGUUCUGGGAAGGGAAAGAGACGGAGGGCAGAAGAGAGGAGGAUACCAGCUAGAGCCUGCACUGUACCACAUGGCCUCAGAAACAGGCAGCAAAGUAAACUGAGAGGAAAUAUGAGCAGCAAAACCUAUGAUGAAGCUAUGGCAAGAGGGAACAUAACUGUGAUUAUAGCUCCCAGUUUCCCUGAAAACCUGUGCUGGGAUUCCAGUUUCCAACUUCCUGGAGCUUGGAGAGGAUGGUACCAUCAAUAUGAAACCAAGUGAACAAAAUUACCCAGGUAACAAUCACCAGUAAAUCAUUUUGUGGAGCAAAGAGGAGAGGACAGAGGGUCAGAGGACGCCCAAAGCAAGAGGCACAAAGCUCCAAAAACCCGUUUUGGACUUGCUCUCCAAAGAGCUCUGCAUUUCAUUAGCACGCUGCAAGGCAGCACAUCCAGUUCUGGCAUGGGGAGUGGGGGGUUUCUUAUGUCGGGAGCAGAAAUUACAAACAGAAGACAAGCUGGAGAACAAGCUGCUCGCACUUGUCACUGCAUCUCUGCACUGGCCCCAAUCUGACCCCACCUUCUGGGGUUUAUUGGCUUGGGGCAGGCCAGCAAUAGUGCUCUAACACCUGGGCCCCUCAGCCUCACUGCCAAGGAUUUGUCAACUCUAAAUUACCAGACAUCUCCUAGCUAGCUUGGUGACUUUGCCAAGGUGAAGUACCCCCAGCUUGGCUACCGAUCCUGCUGCUGUAGCAAGGGUUUUCCUAACACGUUGCUCCAUGAGGCACCCCUACUGGCAACCAAAUUUCAAAGAUAGCUCCUGCCCUUCAGUGGUUGGUAGCAUACUAAUAACAGAUCAGCUUGGGUAUGCCCAGCCCAGCCCAGCCUUUAAGGUGAAGCUCCCAGGUCUUCUACAUGUCUUUUCAGCAAACCAAACUACCUUUCCCUGGCAAACUUCCCUUUAUCCCCUCUCUUCCUGGCAGUAGCCCCUCCCUGUGCCAUCAGAGUCUUAUCUAGACAAACAAUGAGCCUGUGUCCCCCCCUAGAAGAGCAUAAAGAGGCCAAGGCCAGGGGUUGUUGCAGACAAAGCAACCAGUCUCCUCUCUCUGCUAGAGAAAGCUCCAGUGGAGUAGCAUGAGCAAGAUCUAUCUUCCUUGCAGCUCAGCACACCAAUUGCACCCAAACCUGGCAACAGAGCAUGGGGUGGCAUAAGAGUUAGUGCUUCAAAGGAGAGGGAAGCCUCCCUCUCCCCACUUUAACUAACAUACGCCUGAAGCAUCAUGGGCAAGCACAGCAUGCUGCAAACAGAUGUGAAUCCUGAGGAACGUGCCAGGGCCAGGGGGAAGAGCUGGGCCCUUGCCUUUAAUCAAGGUUUAAUUAUGCUCACUACAGGGCAGAAGAGAAUUUGUAUAAAGCACUGCUGCCCCUUCUCCGCCCCCAAACGCAGGGAGCUUUUUGCAAAUCCCCUGUCAUGCUUUUAUCCCCCCCCCCCAUCCAUUAAGCAAGUGGCCUAGGAUUUAAACCUUCCCAGGCUCUCUGUAGCACUUCCCCCACCCUGCAAGCUCUAGGACUGCUCGAGCCUUCCCUAAAGUAGGCAGCCAGCUGUGCUCUCCAGGCAAGGGAGUGGCAGAGUCAAGAAUGCAGCCCACCCCCCCCAGCCUUCUCUCUCCCUCCCAACAGCUCCCUGGAUUCCAGAGUGUUGAGACAAGCUGUGCAAGGAUGCUGCAGCAGUGAAUAGAUAUUCCCCCAAUAGGUAAAAAAAAGGUGUGUGUGCAGGGUCAUCUCAGGCUAUUCUUCCAGCCAAUCGCUGGAGCACAUCCAAAAGGGGAGAAUACAUCCAAAGCCAAACCCAGUCUCUUUACACCUCCACCCCACCCACGCCUGUUCUGUCCAGUGCCUUAGCUAGAAGCAUUAGCUGGCUGGUAUCCCAGGAGAUGCAUAUGUAUUCAUCCCUCUAAAGGAUGAGAUGAUUCAUACCAUUAACACUCCCUUACUGUUCAGAGCAUGACUGCCUCCCUCCAGAAGGUAUCCCUAAUUAGAGCAAUAGCUCACACACUAGGGGCUGGAACUAGUGAUCAGUCAUUACCAAUUACAGUAUGGGAAAAGUGAAAGCAAAGCUUUCCCUCCAUCCUUCCCACCUUGGAAGAAUGACCCCAUUUCCCAUUGCAAACUCACUUCUUAUAUCAGGAGGAAGGAUUGUUAAGAGUGCAUUCUUUUCCCAAUUCAAGGCCUUUAGUGAUCAUCACACUGCAAACCCAUUACUCCAGGUAGGGAAACUGAGGUACUGGGAUGUGCCAUCACAUACUGGAUCCAUUCAGAGAGGGAGAUAAGUCUGCCUCCCAUCCUACUUUCCUUUGUGCAUGAAGGACUGGGAAGUAAACAUACACAACAGGGAGCUGCAAACAUGCCUGUUGUAAAGAUAGAUAAGAGCACUGCCACAAAACAAAGUAAAUCAAAUUGGCUCACCAAGCCAAAGGCCACUUAAAAUAGUGCCCAUGUAGCUGUGGUCUAACAUAAGCUAAGUUAUGUGUGUACAUGACCUUUCUCCCUGCAUUGGUAAACCCACACAAAAAAUAUUAGCAGAGCAGUGAAGCAAUGGCAGCAAAGUCUUUUAAAGUCUCUCAUCACCAUUGCUAUUAUAGGAAUGUAAGGAUUCUGCCAUAUUAGUAUUGUGUCAUAUCUUUAGACUUAAGAGGUUUCCAAAAGACUUGCCCAACUCUUCAAGUGAUGCAAGUUUUUAUUUUUAUCUGGUUUAUUUACAUUUGCCUCUGCGCUCACUGGGCAUUCACACAAGUCAUAUUUGGACUACUGCCUAUUCUUUAUGCUUAUUCAUCCCCAAGGCUUAGUUCUGGUUUAUGCCACCUCCUUCAGCUUUCCAGCAAACUAAGUGCAAUGACAUGUACAUAACAGAGAACACAGAGCAAGGAAUUUCAGGCAGAAGAGCUGAAGAAAUAUAGACCCUGUUUGUACACAGAUGUUUGCAGGAACAGGAAAAGCUGCUAGAAAGAGCCAGAGGUAAACUUCUAAAUAAACUGUUGCCAUUGGCCAUCCAUUUCUUUAGCCUCCCCAGUUGUACGUGGAGCCUGCAGUUUAGUUUAUCAUCACUAUCCUUCUUCUGUUUGCUCCAGCUCCCAGGAGAACAAAGCACACCAACCCCUGCCCCCUUUAACAAGGGUAUAAAGGAUUUACUGAAAAAGUCUGUACAGAUAGAUGGAUCACAAGCUGAAGUGCUACAGGCAUCCCAAGCUGUCUCUUUUGGAAAAACUCAAUUGACAUCUGCAGAAUUUAUUAAUAUUUUAAAAUAAGAAGUCUGACUCCCUGUCCUCCCCCCCCCCCCAAAACAAAACAAAAAAACCCAAAAACUUCUUGAACAUCAGAACCACCCACCAAACUAUGCAGCUUUGAUUGAGAGGCCACAGCCAAGGCUUUCCAAACCAGGGCUGCUAAGUAAACAGAGUCCAGUCAAUCUCUUCAAAGCUGUAACUGAAGAGUAAUUCCCCCAUUUACCAUGAUGCCCUAUAGUCCACAGCAUUAUGCCAUAAGCAUAAUUAAGUACCCUUAAAAAAAAAAAGUAGUAUUAUGGUCAGCUUCACUCAUACUUUUUAGCAUGCUGGUUUCUGGGCACUGACAGAGGGGAAAACAGGAUAACCCUGACUGUGCAAGGGUGCCAUUUUUACUACUGAGUUCAGUUUUUUUCCCCCCUCCCAUACUAUAUAUUAAUGGGGAGUUGCUGUUCACUGCUGCAUGCAUGACUGUUCCAAUUGAGCCUAUACUUGCCAAGUACACAUAGUCCCAUCUACGACGCUCCACUGCAGUGAAUUAGUCGUGAUAUAACCCGAGAUAGGUCUGGCAAUGGCUUGGGAAGCUGGACCGGGUGUCUCAAGGGCAAGGUAUCACAUACCACUGGCCAAGUAAAAGAUCACACAUUUACAUGCUUCGAGGACAGAUCAUCCUUGUCAAAGGCAGAGUUCUGAUGUAUCCCAGAAUAGCCUUUACUGCUGGUAUUUCCAAUGUUGCCAAUAGUUAAGUUACAGAGUAUUUGGUUGGUCAUCUAUUAUAUUACACAACUCCUCCUGGAAAGUUAGGAUGGAUGGAACCAGUGCCAACUGGUACUGAAAGGAAGCUCAGCUUCAGGCUUGUCUAACACAGGGAGAGUCAGUGCCUCCUGACCAGCUGGAACAUGGACCUUUCUUCAGUUGUUUGUGGCACAGAAAGCCCUUUAGGGCUUUUAUGCAUAUGGAGCUGUUCCCAAUUAGCUCCAUGUGUUGACAUUUAUUCCAAGAGAAUGCUACUCCCUGUUCAGCCAAACACUUAGCCCUUCAAGUUGAGUAGGAAUGGCUCCAUGUGUUCAAAACACCAGUACUACAGAGAAGCUCCCACCUGUUGUCAGAUAGCUUCUCAAAAAUAAAAAAGGAGAGAAAAAGGUAAGAGUGAAACCCACUGACUGCAGGUUUGAAUAGGAAGACCUUGUCCAAACAGAAAAAUGCAGGGGGAGGUUUGGUGAAGUACAAGAGUUCUCUUCCCUACACCUUCAACUAAGUGAAGUAAUUCCACAGAAGCCAGCCAGCAGGAUAGGAGAAUAGAAAAAAAAGACAGCUAUGUAGACAGCCACUUAAGGAGCUAAAAUAAAACAAAAACCCACCACAACCCACCCCCCACCAAAAAAAACAACCACCAAGAAAACCAAACAAACACACACACCAAACCAAGAACACACACUAGCUACAUUCCCACUACACCCAUUACACCUAAAGGUGACCCACUUGAAAUGGAAAACAAAUCAAACGUGGGCCUGCGAGGAUAAGUGGAGAAUAUCCUCCCAUGGGUAUAUGAAGUAUCAAGAUAGCCUCAAAGAGGGUUGGGGAAAUUUCAGGAAAUCAGAUUUUCUCUUCAGGCCUAUUAAGAAGUGGUAACAUUACUGGAGUGUGAUACUGCAAGUACCAAGAGGGGUAAGGGAAUAACAGAUUUGUGUUUAAACUUCAAAUCAAACACUUAACUCCUACAAUACUCUGGGAGAACAGACACCCCCCUUAAGAAUUUAGCUUCCUUGUAAAGAUUGAGACAGAGAGAGACACAGAGACACUAUCUUAUUUGAAAAGGUAAAACACUGUCUCUCCCCAGAGCCUUCUUUUAUCUAAAAGAGUGUACAUUACCAAGCAUGACAAACAUAUCAUGACAGAACAGAGUCCCUUCUCUCCAUUGCUGUUUUCACUCUGCUCUUUCUGUCCCCUCCAGUCUUCUGAGGGACAGGAACUGCAUAGCUGCACAUCCAAUAGUGCAAAACCCUAUGCCUCUCCCCCCCCACACUGCUCCUUUCUAAGCUAGGGAAGGGAGGAGGUGUCUCCCAUAGACCAAGGUUUCUGCAGUUGAUUUAAAUGAUUUUCCCCAACAUUUCUGCAAACUGAAGGAUAUCCUAGAUUGCACAAGACUUUGUAAGGGUUAUUAACUAAAAAGGCUGAAGUCUC